This 507-nucleotide long non-coding RNA is filed under the name Nicotiana benthamiana. RNAcentral's name for it is "long non-coding RNA (NBEN_LNC033676)". Lineage: Eukaryota; Viridiplantae; Streptophyta; Magnoliopsida; Solanales; Solanaceae. The record is from RNAcentral.
UGGACCAUCCACAAUCGAUUGUCAAAGCCAAACAAUCGAUUGUUUGGUUUUAUGAAAUUUUUCUGGACCAUUCACAACCGAUUGUCAAAUCCAGACAAUCGAUUGUUUGGUUUUAUGAAAGUUACUGGACCAUCCACAAUCGAUUGUCGAAGCCAUACAAUCGAUUGUUUGGUUUUAUGAAAAAUUUGUUACUGGAGAGGUUUCAACUCACUGGACCUUGAACAAUCGAUUGUCAGAACCUGACAAUCGAUUGUCAGAAGCUGACAAUCGAUUGUCAUAACCUGACAAUCGAUUGUCAGAAGCUGACAAUCGAUUGUCAUAACCUGACAAUCGAUUGUCUGGUGUUCCAAAAAACUGCCAGAAUACAAAGUCACAGACAAUGGAUUGUGUAAGGCAACAAUCCAUUGUCAGAAGGCAGUGACCAAAAUUUUUUCUGAAUAACACAUGAUUUUCAACAUGAAUCUUAAACAUAAAAAACAUGUUGUUAACCUACUAAAAUCAUGCUAU